Molecule: non-coding RNA, 390 nt
Organism: Cinara cedri
Lineage: Eukaryota; Metazoa; Arthropoda; Insecta; Hemiptera; Aphididae
Source: the annotation of a GenBank genome assembly
AGAGAGGAAACGGGAAUUUAGUUUUGAGUAUUCCGAAAAAUGCGUAAUUUUAUAUAUAGUGUACUUCAGUGUGAUCGCAUCCAAAAACUGAUGGAAUUAAUGUCAAACUGAAAAACCAGAAGUGAAUAUGGAUAACCAUUGCAGAAGCAUUUUUCACAGCAUCUUCAACUGGUUCAAGAGACUUUCAGUGUUUAAAAACGUUGUAGGAGAACCUUAAGAGGAAGGCUAAGGCGGCGUUUGCUGCGCAAGAAGAUAACCUAUAUGGCAUAGGUAUUAUACCUACGUCAUACAAUUAUUGACCUAAACAAAUGUAUUUAUGGUUUUUGUAGGACGAGAGUUAAGCAAAAAUAAUUUUAACCAAUCCUGUAGUCGAAACUGUUGUGGGGCUAA